AUUACAAUGCCUAAAACCACCAGGGGAUCGUCACGCAGAAAAUACAGGAACAACCAUGCAGCCAUCAUUAUUAUGAAGACGAUCAAAGAUGCAGGGUGCCAGAGCAAGCUGAGGAACAAGAUGAAAAGUAUGAUAAUAACAUAGUUAUAACGAAAGAAUGCAACAUUCGUUUUGAUCUUUUGAACGGACUCGCUUAAUGUGAAAGGAAGGUUGAAAGAUUGCAGCUGGAUCAUUUCCCUCCAUGGUCUUCGUGUGCCAAGGCUCAAUUCGAUCUUGUCUUUUGCGUUUGAAAUGAUGCGUAGGUUUGAUGGUGGAUGCAAUUCUGUUGGUAUUGUUCCAUAUGUUGCCAUUUUCCGACGAUCAACGCACACAUACAGGGAGAGAAAGUACUCUAGGGAAAUGCUAACCUGGAAGGGGGAGAAGAAGGCCAAAAAAACGGUUUUACAAGUUUAAGAAAGAGGCAUGUGAAAUAUGGCAAAGGUGCACCAUUAAUUGACUGUUAGUCCUGACUCUGAUGGUUUAUAUUGCAAUAGAAUAUCACACAUUGAUCUUAGGUUGCUGAUUGAUCAAGUGAUUGAACAAGUUUGAGAUUGUGGUUUGUAUUGUGCACCAGAAGCACUAGAUUCUG
Molecule: unclassified non-coding RNA, 628 nt
Filed under: Hevea brasiliensis (rubber tree)
Lineage: Eukaryota; Viridiplantae; Streptophyta; Magnoliopsida; Malpighiales; Euphorbiaceae
Source: RNAcentral